Molecule: RNA transcript, 2554 nt
Organism: Pyrus x bretschneideri (Chinese white pear)
Lineage: Eukaryota; Viridiplantae; Streptophyta; Magnoliopsida; Rosales; Rosaceae
Exons: 2
Source: RefSeq, a predicted model, not a curated record
UGGUGUGUAGCAAUUUGAUUGAGACAUAAGCCAAAUAAACAAACAUAAAUCAAACAUUGAUUAGCCCUAAAAAGUUAAACACACAGAUUGUUCUCAUCCCUAAGGUACCGAACCUGGAGACUGUGACGCGAUUUAGGCCUAUUAGCCUGUGUAACUUCUCUUAUAAGGUACUCUAAAAAAUCCUUGCUAAUCGUCUUAAACCUCUCUUACCAAAUUUAAUCUCUCCUAUGCAGAAUGCUUUUGUAGCAGGCAUGCAAAUUCAAGAUAAUAUAUUGAUUGUCCAUGAGAUCUUCCACUCCAUGAAACUCAGCAGAACAAAAAGAAAAUUUGAGUUGGAUAUUAAGCUAUAUAUGAAUAAGGCUUACAAUCGGGUGGAGUGGGACUUCCUGGAGGAGGUUAUGAUUACCAUGGGGUUUGGUAGGAGAUGGGUAAAUUUAAUCACGAAGUGUGUGGUGACUGUUGAUUUCUCUAUUUUAAUUAAUGGCAAACCUGGCAGGAAAUUUCUAUCGUCUUGGGGUCUUCGUCAAGGUGAUCCCUUCUCACCCUAUCUAUUUUUGUUCGUAAGUGAUGUUCUUUCUUCGCUUAUUCAAAUAGCGAUCGAUUUGAAUUAUCUUAGCGGAAUAAAAAUUAGUUCAAUUAGUCCAUGCAUUUUGCAUAUGUUCUUUACGGAUGAUACCUUGAUUUUUCUCCAGGAAAAAACAACAAAAUUGCAGGAAUAUUGUGCAGAUCCUAAAAGCUUAUUGUGCUGCCUUGGGUCAGCAGGUUAGUCUUAACAAAUCAAGUGCUUAUUUUAGUGCAAAUACCCCAAGGACAGUUAUGGAGGAGAUGGGUGGGAUACUUAGGAUGCCCAUUGUUGAUAACCUUGGUACUUAUCUGGGUCUGCCAACAAUUUGGGGUAGGUCUAAAUGUCAAGCUUUGGGAUAUAUUAAAGAUCGAUUAUUGAGAAAGAUUUAGGGAUGGAAACAUAAAUUGUGGUCGUAUACGGGUAAAUAAGUACUGAUUAAAGCUGUUGCUCAAGCUGUUCCAGUUUAUUCAAUGAAUAUUUUCAAAUUUCUUGAACAUUUUUGUAAGGAACUGGAUUCUCUAAUUGCGGGUUUUUGGUGGGGACAAAAUAAUGAGGAUAAGCGGAUUCAUGAAAGUCAGAAAUUUACAAGAGUUUAAUGUUGCUUUGUUGGCAAAACAAUGUUGGAGAACGUUGAUGGAGCAUGAUUCUUGGGUCAGAUUAAUGAAAGUGAGAUACUUUCCCCAUUCUUCAUUUCUCGAGGCUAGAAAACGAAGUUGGGCCUCGGGGGCUUGGGCAAGUUUAUUGGAAGGGAGAGAGAUUCUUUUGAGAGGAGGCCAGUGGCAGGUGAUGAAUGGUAGAAAUAUAAGGCUGUGGAUGGAUCGUUGGAUUCCUUCUUUGCCGAAGAGACAUCCUUAUCCUUCAGAGUCUUCGAAUAUAAACUGGAGCCAGAAUUUUGCUUCCAUAAUUAGGCCAUAUUCUCAUGAAUGGGACCUCCAACCCAUUAGUUCUUGUCUGUCUCAACGUGAGAUGGAACAGAUAAAAAAGGUACAAAUUGGAGACCCUUCCUGUGAUGAUCGAUUCAUUUGGCCUUUAGAAAAAAGAUGUAAGUAUACGGUUAAGUCUGGUUAUCAUUGGAUUCAUAGCAUGGAGGCUCCUAUAUGUAAUGAGGAAGAGGAAUAGGUGGAGCAUUUGUUCUCGUUGUGUCCAUGGGUUCAGCCUAUCUGGUUUGGAGGUCAACUUAAUUACAAGGUAAUUCAUAAAAUUAAUUAUGGCCAUGCUGCUUUCAUGGAGGCUAACAAAAGGUCGAACAGGGUUGCUGUGGGAUCGAGAACUUCUCCAGGUAAUCAAGCAAAUUUGAUUCGAGAUUCUCAAUCAAUCUCGGUUUGGUCUCCACCAGAGAUUUCAUGGUACAAAGUAAAUGUUGAUGCAAGUUGGAUGUCGAUAACGAAAAAAGGAUAUGUGGCCACGGUGAUCAACAACUCUAAUGGCAAAUUUAUUGCUACUAAAAAGCAAAGUAUUUUGGCGGAGGGAGUGCAAGAAGCUGAGGCAAAAGCUAUUUUGGAAGGGUGCAAGCUUGCUAAUCAUUUGGAGUUAGGGAAGGUUAUAAUUGAAUCAGAUUCAAAGGAAGUUGUCUCUAGCUUAUGUAAUUCCAUUUACCAGGGAAGGUGGGAGGUAGUUCCGGUGCUUUGGAAAGCUAUGCAGCUGAAGGGGUCAUUCCAACAGUGUAGAUGGUCUUGGGUUCCUCGAUCCGCCAAUAUGGUGGCUCAUAGAUUAGCUUCUGCGCAGUACUCGGAGAUGAGCAAUUAUACUUAGGUCGAAAGACCCCCAUCUUCGAUUGUACAUAUUUUGAACAAAGAUGGUCUACCUUGCCCACAUUAAUUAGAGUCGGUGUUGGAGUGAUUUAGGGUGACAUGUAGUUGUUGACUGUGUUGGUCUUUAACCCUGUAUCACUCUGUUGUAUGUUGUUUCUCUGGUUUGUAGCAUUGUUUAUCCUCUGUGUGGGCUUUUUUGGUGUAUUUUGGCUUUGCCCUAGAGUAAUUCCAGUUUAAC